RNAcentral lists this ribosomal RNA (468 nucleotides) under uncultured bacterium. RNAcentral describes it as "partial 16S ribosomal RNA". It matches the Rfam family "Bacterial small subunit ribosomal RNA", at positions 28 to 507 of the family's 1533-position model. The record is from RNAcentral.
GACGAACGCUGGCGGCGUGCUUAACACAUGCAAGUCGAACGGAAAGGCCCUGCUUUUGUGGGGUGCUCGAGUGGCGAACGGGUGAGUAACACGUGAGUAACCUGCCCUUGACUUUGGGAUAACUUCAGGAAACUGGGGCUAAUACCGGGUAGAAGCUCCUGCUGCAUGGUGGGGGUUGGAAAGUUUCGGCGGUUGGGGAUGGACUGGCGGCUUAUCAGCUUGUUGGUGGGGUAGUGGCUUACCAAGGCUUUGACGGGUAGCCGGCCUGAGAGGGUGACCGGCCACAUUGGGACUGAGAUACGGCGCAGACUCCUACGGGAGGCAGCAGUGGGGAAUAUGGCGCAAUGGGCGGAAGCCUGAUGCAGCAAUGCCGCGUGCGGAAUAACGGCUUUCGGGUUGUAAACCGAUUUCGCCUGUGACGAAGCGUGAGUGACGGUAAUGGGUAAAGAAGCACCGGCUAACUACGUG